RNAcentral lists this transfer RNA (85 nucleotides) under Felis catus (domestic cat). It matches the Rfam family "tRNA". From Rfam's summary of the family: Transfer RNA (tRNA) molecules are approximately 80 nucleotides in length. Their secondary structure includes four short double-helical elements and three loops (D, anti-codon, and T loops). Lineage: Eukaryota; Metazoa; Chordata; Mammalia; Carnivora; Felidae. The record is from Rfam by way of RNAcentral.
ACCUGGGUGGCUCAGUUGGUUGAGCAUCUGACUUCGGCUCAGAUCAUGAUCUCACGGUUUGUGGGUUCAAGCCCCACGUCAGGCU